This 404-nucleotide unclassified non-coding RNA is filed under the name Anaphalis leptophylla. RNAcentral's name for it is "partial external transcribed spacer". The stretch from base 353 to 404 matches the Rfam family "Eukaryotic small subunit ribosomal RNA", at positions 1 to 52 of the family's 1831-position model. The record is from RNAcentral. Lineage: Eukaryota; Viridiplantae; Streptophyta; Magnoliopsida; Asterales; Asteraceae.
AACUUCCACCUGGCAUACCUCUUCAGUCUUGUGUCAAUGCUUGUAUUGCAUUGAAUGCACGGUGGGUUUCUUGUGUUGCAUGCCUAAUUAAUGGUAUCGCUUGAUGAAUUGGUAUUCAUUUCGUCUUGUGUCGCCUAUGCGAUGUGAGAUGAACCUUGAAGCAGCCUUUUUGAUCCACUCUUUUGAUGCAUACGCAUUGAUUUUGUGGCCCAUUGAGUGUUGCUUGGUCUCAUGGAUAUGGAACCUAGUGUGGGCAUGGAAUCUUACUGGUUCCUUGUUUGCCCAAGUUUAGCUUUUCUAAAACGAUUGUCUAUCAUGUGUUAACGUGGUAGACAGCUUCGAAUAUGAAUGCUACCUGGUUGAUCCUGCCAGUAGUCAUAUGCUUGUCUCAAAGAUUAAGCCAU